UACGGAGGAUCCAAGCGUUAUCCGGAAUCAUUGGGUUUAAAGGGUCCGUAGGCGGUUUGGUAAGUCAGUGGUGAAAGCCCUUCGCUCAACGGAGGAACGGCCAUUGAUACUGCCAGACUUGAAUUACUGGGAAGUAACUAGAAUAUGUAGUGUAGCGGUGAAAUGCUUAGAUAUUACAUGGAAUACCAAUUGCGAAGGCAGGUUACUACCAGUGGAUUGACGCUGAUGGACGAAAGCGUGGGGAGCGAACAGG
This 253-nucleotide ribosomal RNA is filed under the name uncultured bacterium. RNAcentral's name for it is "partial 16S ribosomal RNA". It matches the Rfam family "Bacterial small subunit ribosomal RNA", at positions 524 to 776 of the family's 1533-position model. The record is from RNAcentral.